RNAcentral lists this ribosomal RNA (87 nucleotides) under Vibrio sp. JPW-9-11-11. RNAcentral describes it as "partial 16S ribosomal RNA". The stretch from base 1 to 78 matches the Rfam family "Bacterial small subunit ribosomal RNA", at positions 1456 to 1533 of the family's 1533-position model. Lineage: Bacteria; Pseudomonadati; Pseudomonadota; Gammaproteobacteria; Vibrionales; Vibrionaceae. The record is from RNAcentral.
ACCACUUUGUGGUUCAUGACUGGGGUGAAGUCGUAACAAGGUAGCCCUAGGGGAACCUGGGGCUGGAUCACCUCCUUAUACGAUGAU